RNAcentral lists this ribosomal RNA (652 nucleotides) under uncultured Acidobacteriota bacterium. Its description in RNAcentral is "SSU rRNA". It matches the Rfam family "Bacterial small subunit ribosomal RNA", at positions 245 to 915 of the family's 1533-position model. Lineage: Bacteria; Pseudomonadati; Acidobacteriota. The record is from RNAcentral.
UUAGUUGGCGGGGUAAAGGCCCACCAAGACUGUGAUCGAUAGCCGGCCUGAGAGGGCACACGGCCACACUGGCACUGAAACACGGGCCAGACUCCUACGGGAGGCAGCAGUGGGGAAUCUUGCACAAUGGGGGAAACCCUGAUGCAGCGACGCCGCGUGAGCGAUGAAGCCCCUCGGGGUGUAAAGCUCUUUCGGCAGGGAAGAUUAUGACGGUACCUGCAAAAGCAGCUGCGGCUAACUACGUGCCAGCAGCCGCGGUAAUACGUAGGCAGCAAGCGUUGUUCGGAGUUACUGGGCGUAAAGGGUGCGUAGGCGGCUUUUUAAGUUUGGUGUGAAAUCUCCCGGCUCAACUGGGAGGGUGCGCCGAAUACUGAGAGGCUAGAGUGUGGGAGAGGAAAGUGGAAUUCCUGGUGUAGCGGUGAAAUGCGUAGAUAUCAGGAGGAACACCGGUGGUGUAAACGGCUUUCUGGACCAUAACUGACGCUGAGGCACGAAAGCGUGGGUAGCAAACAGGAUUAGAUACCCUGGUAGUCCACGCCCUAAACGAUGCAUAUUUGGUGUGGGCCAUUCAUUUGGUCUGUGCCGGAGCUAACGCGUUAAAUAUGCCGCCUGGGGAGUACAGUCGCAAGGCUGAAACUCAAAGGAAUUGACG